GCAAGGAACAGAGAUGGAUGGCCAGAGCACCUUGACACCAGUUGACCAGUUGGAAGUGGAAUUACUACAAGGUCUUUGGUUCCUCACCACUAUUGACCUGGAGGACAACAAAUACCCUUCAGAUGAAGACUUUGGAGAUCUCUCCUAUUUGGAAGAGGAUGACUUAGAGGGUGCAGACAGUUCAGAUAGUGACCCAGACUAUGUAACAAGAAUUUGUAUUAGAACCGGUGGGGCACUGGAAACGGCAUUGAAUGUGAAUGAUCUACCGGAAGUAAACAUGGAACAGAUUCUCUAUGAUCUGGAUACCGAGGUGGAGGAGGAGCAAGAGGAGCUGGAGGGAGAAACAUCAACUCAUGCUGAAAAGUUUCCUGUGGAAAUGAAAGGUAUGUGUGAAGAAGACAUCAUUGGUGUACCUGCAUCUAUUGUGUAUCACCACAGUCUGAGGCAGCUGGUACAGUAUCUGAGCAUUCCAACCAAAGUAUGCAAAAGGAUGGACAGGGCCGCCAGGCAGCUGUUGUUAAAUGGGUAA
This 529-nucleotide long non-coding RNA is filed under the name Dicentrarchus labrax (European seabass). RNAcentral describes it as "lncRNA (ENSDLAG00005029531.1)". The record is from RNAcentral. Lineage: Eukaryota; Metazoa; Chordata; Actinopteri; Moronidae.